GAUGAACGCUGGCGGCGUGCCUAAUACAUGCAAGUCGAGCGAACGGACGAGAAGCUUGCUUCUCUGAUGUUAGCGGCGGACGGGUGAGUAACACGUGGAUAACCUACCUAUAAGACUGGGAUAACUUCGGGAAACCGGAGCUAAUACCGGAUAAUAUUUUGAACCGCAUGGUUCAAAAGUGAAAGACGGUAUUGCUGUCACUUAUAGAUGGAUCCGCGCUGCAUUAGCUAGUUGGUAAGGUAACGGCUUACCAAGGCAACGAGGCAUAGCCGCCCUGAGAGGGUGAUCCGCCACCCUGGAACUGAGACACGGCCCCGACUCCUACGGGAGGCCGCAGUAGGGACUCUUCCGCAAUGGGCGAAAGCCUGACGGAGCAACGCCGCGUGAGUGCUGAAGGUCUUCGGAUCGUAAAACUCUGUUAUUAGGGAAGACCAUAUGUGUAAGUAACUGUGCACAUCUUGACGGUACCUAAUCAGAAAGCCACGGCUAACUACGUG
Molecule: ribosomal RNA, 497 nt
Filed under: uncultured bacterium
Lineage: Bacteria
Description: partial 16S ribosomal RNA
Rfam family: Bacterial small subunit ribosomal RNA
Source: RNAcentral